AUGUGGUUAAUUCGAUGCAACGCGAAAACCUUACCACCUUUGACAUGUACGGAAUCCUUUAGAGAUAGAGGAGUGCUCGAAAGAGAGCCGUAACACAGGUGCUGCAUGGCUGUCGUCAGCUCGUGUCGUGAGAUGUUGGGUUAAGUCCCGCAACGAGCGCAACCCUUGUCAUUAGUUGCUACAUUCAGUUGGGCACUCUAAUGAGACUGCCGGUGACAAACCGGAGGAAGGUGGGGAUGACGUCAAGUCCUCAUGGCCCUUAUAGGUGGGGCUACACACGUCAUACAAUGGAUGGUACAAAGGGUCGCCAACCCGCGAGGGGGAGCCAAUCCCAUAAAGCCAUUCGUAGUCCGGAUCGCAGUCUGCAACUCGACUGCGUGAAGUCGGAAUCGCUAGUAAUCGUGGAUCAGAAUGUCACGGUGAAUACGUUCCCGGGUCUU
RNAcentral lists this ribosomal RNA (440 nucleotides) under uncultured Acidovorax sp. RNAcentral's name for it is "bacterial SSU rRNA". It matches the Rfam family "Bacterial small subunit ribosomal RNA", at positions 939 to 1382 of the family's 1533-position model. Lineage: Bacteria; Pseudomonadati; Pseudomonadota; Betaproteobacteria; Burkholderiales; Comamonadaceae. The record is from RNAcentral.